CCCUUAGAUGUUCUGGGCCGCACGCGCGCUACAAUGGUCUUCGCAAACGGAUGCAUUCUCGAAGGAGAAUGCCAAUCUUGGAAUCUAUGCCUUGGUCGGGACAGUUGCUUGCAAUUUUUCGACUCGAACCAGGAAUUCCUUGUAAUCGUGAUUCAUCACAUCACGAUGAAUACGUCCCUGCCCUUUGUACACACCGCCCGUCGCUCCUACCGAUCGAAGAGUUAGGUGAAUUGUUCUGAUCGAUAAGAUUUGACUAUGGUCAACUCUCGUUGUGAAAUUCUGUGAAUCUGACUGUUUAGAGGAAGGAAAAGUCGUAACA
RNAcentral lists this ribosomal RNA (319 nucleotides) under uncultured eukaryote. Its description in RNAcentral is "partial 18S ribosomal RNA". It matches the Rfam family "Eukaryotic small subunit ribosomal RNA", at positions 1470 to 1796 of the family's 1831-position model. The record is from RNAcentral.